This 524-nucleotide long non-coding RNA is filed under the name Ananas comosus (pineapple). Its description in RNAcentral is "long non-coding RNA (ACOM_LNC013191)". The record is from RNAcentral. Lineage: Eukaryota; Viridiplantae; Streptophyta; Magnoliopsida; Poales; Bromeliaceae.
CCUAUGAAUCUUUUGGACAAAAUUUUGAAAUUAAUAAAUCUGGUUAUUUAUAAGAAUAUUGUCUACCAUUUCUAAAUUAUUAUUAUUUUUUUUUGAGAGAUAGGUAGCACGCUACCUGCUUUGUUUAUUUCAUUAAGAAAUACACUUAGCUGGAAAUGUGAAUCAAUUAGAAUUCGAACUUGGGACCUCGGGUACCAACCACCAAGUCCUUUGCCACUUGCUCUAAGGACGGUCGGUUCCAUUUCUAAAUUAUUGAAAUCAAUAAUGAUAAACCUAGCAUCGCCUCCAUUAUUUGUACCGAAGGCAUCUUCUACGGCAAGCCAAAGUUUUUUGAUAGUUUGUAUUUCCUAAUAAGUUUCAUACAGUUCAUGUAACGACCCAGCCCACUAGCAAUAAUAACUCGUUGGGCCUAUCCAACAGCCCAAAAUGCUUAAGCCCAGUUAUUAUUACUAGUGUCUAAGUCUCUUAUAAACCCAAUGACAACCCCAUUCCCAUCCGAUGUGGGACUAUUGGGGUGUCACAGU